GAUGAACGCUGGCGGCGUGCCUAAUACAUGCAAGUCGAGCGAACGGACGAGAAGCUUGCUUCUCUGACGUUAGCGGCGGACGGGUGAGUAACACGUGGAUAACCUACCUAUAAGACUGGGAUAACUUCGGGAAACCGGAGCUAACACCGGAGGAUAUUUUGAACCGCAUGGUUCAAAAGUGAAAGACGGUGUUGCGGUCACUUAUAGAUGGAUCCGCGCUGCAUUAGCUAGUUGUUAAGGUAACGGCUUACCAAGGCAACGAUGCAUAGCCGACCUGAGAGGCUGGUCGGCCACCCUGGAGCUGAGACACGGUCCAGGCUCCUACGGUAGGCAGCAGUAGGGAAUCUUCCGCAAUGGGCGAAAGCCUGACGGAGCAACGCCGCGUGAGUGAUGAAGGUCUUCGGAUCGUAAAACUCUGUUAUUAGGGAAGAACAUAUGUGUAAGUAACUGUGCACAUCUUGACGGUACCUAAUCAGAAAGCCACGGCUAACUACGUG
RNAcentral lists this ribosomal RNA (497 nucleotides) under uncultured bacterium. Its description in RNAcentral is "partial 16S ribosomal RNA". It matches the Rfam family "Bacterial small subunit ribosomal RNA", at positions 28 to 507 of the family's 1533-position model. The record is from RNAcentral.